Long non-coding RNA from Pomacea canaliculata, 5414 nucleotides. RefSeq lists it as uncharacterized. The transcript has 3 exons. Lineage: Eukaryota; Metazoa; Mollusca; Gastropoda; Architaenioglossa; Ampullariidae. The record is from RefSeq and is a predicted model, not a curated record.
UUUCUGUUUGUGCUGGUGCCAGGAAAUAAUAAUAACAAUAACAGCAAUAACAACAACAACAACAACAACAAUAAUAAUCAUGACUAUUUAUUAUUACACACACGCCUCCUCCCGAUGGAGGAGUUCGUGACAUUUACAUUCAUACGCACAAGUAAACUCAUAAAUUUAAACGAAUUUUUACCGACCAAAUUUUUUUUUCAUUUUCUCAUUCUUUGGACAUGCAUGAAGGAUUAUGUUGGACACUUGAAGGCCUGAACGGUGCACAAAAGUGCACAGCAACGAUUUUUUUUCCACACACGUCACGCUUAUCAACAGCCGACAGCGCUCCGGAAGUGGUCCGCCCUGGGUUUGGGGUGAAGGUCACAUGCAUGAAUAAUUCUCGAAAGUCCUCCGAGGGUAGUGGACUAGAAGCAUGCACGUGUCUGUCUUGUCACAUACUCGUAUGUGUUCUGUCUUUCCCCUCAUGGAGGUUCCUUGCUCGUUCCCCAGAAUCCCCCCGUCACAGAUUCAUCAUCAGGACACGUCGAUGUUUAAUGUCAAUGAACAUGCUCAAAACACUUUCUCGAAAUACUUCCUGCAUUAUUACCCUCCACGUGUACACAUUUUAACACUUUGUGAACAGGGUAGAAUAAUAAACAUCCAAGGGCAUAUCUACAAACUUCAAAAACACUCUAGAGAAAUGUUUGCGACUCUCGACAUCAUCGAACUGCUCACAAAAAAUGUACCCACACUUCAAAAGCUCGACAACCACUCACUCAAACUGCUGCCAAAAGCUUUUGCCAGCAGGGCUUAGAAAUCUUAAUUAUAUCUCGCUUAAUAAUCCCGAUAUUGCCUGGGUGUAAAUAUUGUCCUCGCUCCACUACCCGCGUGUCUACCUGUCAACUCUCGUGACUCCAAGGACGAGCGCGAGUUAAAAAUGUCGAGGACUAGUAGCAACACGUCUAUUGUCAACACCUAGAAUAACUAACUAAAUACAUACAUAAAUAUACAAAUAAAAAAUAAAUAAAAUGACAACCAACGGAAAAUACGAUGUAAUACUCGUAAAAGUGACAUCCUCCCUCCACACCAGCCUUGACCUCUGACCCGUUGUGAAAUCUUUCCCCAGUCAGACCUGUUUGCGAGGUGUUGUUCACAACAUUCAUAGAUGAAACAAUAAUAAUAGGAGGCAGCAUGUGCGCAAUUUGUUCGCAUGUCGCCCAUGCGUGCGACACCACACUACCUACGUGUCACGACGCGUCGCACGUGCAGUUUGUUUCCGUCUUCGCCGCCAUUUUGCGUAGUUUCUCGACUCGUUUGUUACAUACAACGAGAAACAUGUCAACACCAUACUGUUGUUCCUCAACUAUUUUGGACGCAGUCCCUGAACACCUCAGCUGUUGGCAAGACUGAUGGCACGAGUAUCUGGGGUGGGUCGGGUGGGCUGGGUGGAUGGAUGGAUGCAGCUUCCUCAAAGCUCGCAGACUUCUCGGGGUUGAAGCAAAUCGAAGAUGUAGGUGAGGUGUUUUAUUGCCAUAUUUUUUUUAAUCGCUCCACUUCAUAAGGGGCAUUACACUUGGCGCAUAUCCAGGACAUCAGCUGAUAGUGAGGAUGUAAACACCGCGAGUCAAGGAGACAAGGGGGCGCUGCGCCGUGACGUCACGCCCCGUGUUUAUGUGCACGCACACGCGCAGCACGAGAACGAGUGCACUCCUCCUGCCCACGAUCGAUGGGGUUUCCCAGCGUUCGUCAGCAGCCAACUGCAAUUAAAAAUAAAAACAAAAGAGUUGGGAAUAGAAGGAAAGAAGGAACCUGUAAACAGGAAGGAGAGAAGAAGCAGAAGGCCGGCCAGCGAGCGGCGUGGAGAUAUUGAUCAGGCGAGCAGGACAAACAGCAAUGAAGGUGGGACUGUAAUUGAGGACUUUUUAUAUUUUUAUGUGUUUAAGUGAACGUGUUUACGAUGUCGCCUGAUGUAAGCGGUUUGUACACGUCAUCGAUGCCUUACUUCUGCAGCUGAUGGUGGAGUCUGAAAUAGAAUGCGCGCACACGUGUGCUUGUGUGUCUGUGUGUGUGUAUAUAAAUAAAAAUAUCUGUGCAUCUAUCUGUUGGUAUACGUGUGUAUUUAGGUAUAUUUAUACAUAUGAGAACGUGCUUACAAGUAACAAAGUGUGUUGUGGGUUUGUGUGAAUGCUGGUGUCACGCACGAACAAGUGUGUAUGCGUGUGUGUGUCCUGAGCGCAAGAAAGUGGGUUGUGAAUGCCACGAAGACUAUCAAUGUCGGAGGAGACCUUGAAGGCGCACAUUAAUAAUAAAAAAAACCUGCUGUGUGAAGGGCUGAAGGACAGUAAAAAAAAGAACUAAUUUUACACAACGCCAUGUGCUGUCCGCAAUCCAGGACAAGAGGGCAUCUCAGUGCGGGGGUGGGGAUGUGUGGGGAGGAGGAGGAGGAGGAUGGCGAACUGAACAAAUGGCAACAGGGAUCGACACCUGGUGACACGUCAUAGUCACGUAACUGAAGUCGCUGGUCACGAACCAGUUUGGACUCACAGACCCUAGUCACGACCACGAUGGUGGAGGUCAUCGGGAUGUACAAACCCCCGACCUCUCCUCUCUCCCUCCUCACCACUCCCCAGUCUCUCUCUCAUCAGCUACAGACGCACCUUCGUCUAAUGGCGGACUAAUGACCUUCAGCGCACCUGCUAAACACCUUCACGUAUACACAUCUGUUUGCGCAGUCAACAAGGAGGGUAGACGGGGGAAUGGGGGGUUAGGGAGGGAGACAACUGGACAUCAAUAAGUUUUUUAUUUUACUCACGAUUCGUCAGCAAGCUUUCUCUCUCUCCUCCACUCCCAAGACACACCCAACAGAUUUAUACCUUUUGGAGAGAGAGAUUUGCUUCCUAUAUUUUCAUUCUGGCGGAAACAUGCGCACGAGUAAGUCUGUCGUUGUGUCGUGUCAGCAAGAAGGAGAUGUUGUUUCUACCCCCGAGAUGUUUACAUGGGUUUUUUGCGCUGUUCCGUGUUUAUGUUAGUACUGACAUAUUUAAUCAACUAUUUUGGACGGUCUGGCGAAUAAACAGGUGCACUCUUCUUGUUGUAAUUUGUCAGGAAAACGUCGCCCACCUAAUGACUGUUACGUGGUAAACAUACAGUCGUUACUUGGAUUCUCGUCAAGGCUCGGUUUGAGGGUUGGUGGAUUAAUGCGUAAUUUAUUUAAUACUGGAGGUUCAUGAUUUCAUCCGUAAAUACACUGAUCUGAGAUGCUGAUAUGUGGCUACGGACUUGUCACGUGGACCAAAUGGGAUGUAAGAUCCUUUGAUUGAUGCGCGACUUUCAUCAAAAGACUAGUUUCAUUCCGCUUCACGAAUAAGACUAGCGAUGUGUAUAUGGACCUCAGAGGUGCACAUUACAUUUUUAGGGUGACUACAAAAAGCAAAAAAAAAAAAUAAAAAUAAAAUAAACACUGUUUGUAAGUAAUGUCAGGUGCAUGCUGUCUCUCCAGGCAUCUCACAGGGCACAGUGCAAUGACUACAUUUUCCAGGCAGGUCACGUGACUUAGACACGACGACCACUUUCUUCGAGCAGGUCUUCCCCCGCGCCGUCCGGUCUGGAUUUGAUUUGUUUUGAACCCCUCGCUAAUUUACAUCUGGCCUUGAACAAUGGUUUGUGACCUUAACGGUUUAUUGCUUCCACGGACAGCAGUCAGGUUGGUGAUUAGAACAAACACGAAUAAACACUCUCUCAUACACGCACUCAAGCACGCAAGACACACAAACAGACAGACAGACAGACAGACAGACGGACGGACGGACAGUUGUUUUGCUAUUCGAGGGCUUACUCUCUCCCCUUUCCUUGUAGUGGGGGAGAACUUCUCACUCCUACAUCAAAUUAAAAGUGCUUGUAAGGUCGGAGGUCGUACACUGAGUGCAGCUCACCAGUUCAAAUAUACGGCUGUAAGUACAUGUAAGCAGCGAUGACAGCCCAUGGAGCUUUAACCUGUUCUACACACUCUCUGUAAUGCUGAUGAUAAUAGCAGCAUCACUGAUAAACUAAUUGAUGAACAUAACUUGGUGAUGACUCGGCAAAGUGUGCAAUGCUAAUGAUGAUGAUGAUGAUGAUGAUGAUGAUGAUGAUGAUGCUAAUGAUGAUUGUUAUUAUGUAUGUUAAUGUAGUAUCUCUGGUAGUACCUAGCCGUGGUCACAGGACAGUGGAGACUACUGGGGGCGUGGCCAGUCCACCCUGAUUAGUUAAUCAGGCCACAAUGCAAUCAGCGAGCGAGGGUGACGGUGCAUCAAGACAUGUUUAUAAGGCCUCUCCAGGUGUCACACAGGGCGACAGGACUCCAGGCAUGUCAGGUGACCUAGACACGUGACCAAAUUCAUUCUAUGUGCUAUAAUUGGCGAGCUGCGAGAGGAUGUUGAGUGAUUUAGAGCUUCACCGUCCCAAACCGGAAGUGCACAUCCUGGCCGGUUCGAAUCCCUUGUGGUGCAGCGUACUUUCAUCACGUGAUCCAGCUGUUGAAUGAAUACCUGACUCCUUGGAGAGGUGGUGUGGGUGGAGAGAGGUACUGACUCAGGUGACCCUGGGUGUGUACCUGGAAGGAUGAAGGAGGGUCCCGUUACCGCUGACCGUGCAGGCAUUCGUGACGUGGGGGGUGAGUCACGUGCUCAGUCUCCCUCUUCUACCAUCACUCAAGACAUCGAUCCUUUUGAUUUCAUCGACCGCCAAACGUUCGAGUCCCUGUGAAGUAACGGUCCUGUGACGUCAGCAGAAUGCUAUGUCGGCUGCAUCGUGCUGCAAGGCGGGUGUCGGGCUGCCGCUGAUCAGAUGAUGUCGUGUGCUGCCUUCUCCAUUUCCUGCAGCAUUAUCGUCACGCUUGUUGACGAUCGUCAUCCAUCACCUGGAGAACAACAUGGUCCACGAGUCACGAACUGUGCGUUGUUGUCACAUUGACCUGUGAAAUGGGGAGAUAACUCAUUCUUCAUAGCAACACUACUUCCCCUUGUUAGGGAAUGUCAACGUUUUUGUUUACACUUCCUUUUUUUUUUCUUUGUUUUUGUUUUGCUUGCUUCUCCCAUAACACGUGACGUGUUUUCACCCAGAAUUCCUCGAAUUCUGCUGAAGUGAGUGCGAGAGAGAGUGUGAGCACGCGAUAUAACAGAAUAACAUUCCUGCAUCGCACGACAUAGGAGCCUGCAUGUCUGUCCUGCCAUCUGAAAGACGAGAAAGGAAAAAGGAAGUAAUAGAAAAAAGUGGAAACAUGAAGAAAAAGAAAACAGAAUAUCUUGCAACAGCACUAGUGGAAAGUGUAGAGACAAGUCACGUGACCACCAAUGGCCGCAUCGUCGUGUCGCCAUCAGAGCCGCCUCCACCAUCCACAAAAUGUUGGAACUGGAGUAGGCGGUGAGAGUGGUGGAGGUAAAUGCAGAUGUAGAGGU